RNAcentral lists this ribosomal RNA (274 nucleotides) under uncultured bacterium. Its description in RNAcentral is "partial 16S ribosomal RNA". It matches the Rfam family "Bacterial small subunit ribosomal RNA", at positions 523 to 796 of the family's 1533-position model. The record is from RNAcentral.
AUACGGGGGGGGCGAGCGUUGUCCGGAAUCAUUGGGCGUAAAGGGUGAGUAGGCGGGAUGGUAAGUCAGAGGUGAAAGUCCAGGGCUCAACUCUGGAUCUGCCUCUGAUACUGCUGUCCUUGAGUGCGUGAGAGGGAAGUGGAAUUCCCGGUGUAGCGGUGAAAUGCGUAGAUAUCGGGAAGAACACCAGUGGCGAAGGCGGCUUCCUGGCCCGCAACUGACGCUGAAUCACGAAAGCGUGGGGAGCAAACAGAAUUAGAAACCCUAGUAGUCC